UGUUCCUGCCCCUUUGGAUAUCACUAAAACACCUAAUUUUUAGGAAAUCUCUUAACUCCAGAAAAAUUUAAGGUAAAAACCCCCUCUAGAAAAAUCCUCAUAUAGGAUAUCCAGACCUCAAUAGACAAUAGGGGGGGGGCUAUUAAAUGGAAUGGCCUAUCUGACUUGGUGAGUGGUCACUACCACCAAAGGAAAAUGAAACAUGCUGGCCUGCUUUACAUACAGAAUAAAUUUUGAAGCAUUUCUACUGUUACUUGUGACGAUAAUCACAUUUGAUGAGAAAAUAUGGAGUCUUUCUGUAUGUUAGUGAUGUGAUCUCAUUGUUCAUAUUAAAAGCUGAAAUAGUUUGAAACUCGUGUGAAAAUAAAUCCAGUAUAAAUGUACAGUACGUACCUUGAUAUACGG
Paramuricea clavata is the source of this 405-nucleotide non-coding RNA. Lineage: Eukaryota; Metazoa; Cnidaria; Anthozoa; Malacalcyonacea; Plexauridae. The record is from the annotation of a GenBank genome assembly.